This 285-nucleotide long non-coding RNA is filed under the name Nicotiana benthamiana. RNAcentral's name for it is "long non-coding RNA (NBEN_LNC004566)". Lineage: Eukaryota; Viridiplantae; Streptophyta; Magnoliopsida; Solanales; Solanaceae. The record is from RNAcentral.
GAAUGCCCCAACUCCCCUAGCUCUAUGUUACGAUCCCCCUCCUCGUUAAGCAAGUCGCGAAAGUACGCCUGCCACCUUUGCUUAACUUGAGACUCCCCCAUCAGAACUCUACCAUCCUCGCCCUUGAUGCACCUAACUUGGUCAAGAUCACGUGUCUUCCUUUCCCUUGCUUUAGCUAACCGAAAUAACUUUCUUUCCCCGCCUCUCUCCCCUAGUUCCUCGUACAUGCGACCAAACGCCGCGUUUUUAGCUUCCGUAACCGCCAGCUUUGCUUCUUUCCUCGCC